This 242-nucleotide ribosomal RNA is filed under the name uncultured bacterium. RNAcentral's name for it is "partial 16S ribosomal RNA". It matches the Rfam family "Bacterial small subunit ribosomal RNA", at positions 92 to 334 of the family's 1533-position model. The record is from RNAcentral.
CGACCGGCGGACGGGUGAGUAACGCGUGGGUAACCUGCCUCAUACAGGGGGAUAACAGUUGGAAACGGCUGCUAAUACCGCAUAAGCGCACAGUACCGCAUGGUACGGUGUGAAAAACUCCGGUGGUAUGAGAUGGACCCGCGUCUGAUUAGGUAGUUGGUGGGGUAACGGCCUACCAAGCCGACGAUCAGUAGCCGACCUGAGAGGGUGACCGGCCACAUUGGGACUGAGACACGGCCCAA